GGGAUGAGGGGCAUUGGUGGUCAGGUCUGUCUUGAACAGCUGGAGGGAAGACGUAGGGGUGGGAAGCAGUCAGGCAGAAAGAGUUCCAGGUUCUGGUGUUGCCCACCCAGCCGUCCCGUGCUCACUCGUGACACCUUUCCUGCACUGUAGCCUCUUGCUCCUCCGACUCUAGUGGGAACAGGCCCUAGCUCAGCCUCCGGCAGGGAGGUUACCCCGACUCCUUCAGCUUGCCCUGACCUCCUAUUGUAAUCCCUGAGCUUCGAAGCCUCUUGCCCCAGCCCUGUGGCUUCCCCAGAAGCCUCAGCUUAGGGUGGAGAAGCCGUCUACACACAACCCUGGCUCUCCACCUGCCUCUGGGCCAUGCAAUGGAAAUUCCAGCAGCAAGCCAGGCACUGGGCUGAAGCUGGGCCUUCCGCCUCCCUUGGAUGGGGUCCAGAGGCCAGGCCUGGCACAUUUUGGAGUGUUCUGGCUACCAGCUGUCACCCACACCCAUGCAUCCCCACACUAUGCUCUCUUAAGAAUGUAAUUUAUUGGGGCCCCCCCAGCUGCUUUCUUCACCUGCCCCUGCCCUACCUGACACCCCCAGCUUGACUUCUCUCCAGUCCACAUGUGUAUAUAAUGAUAUCUAUAUUUUUGCCUAGGUCUGGGUAUUGCUCUUGUCCAGACCCUGGCAUCCCUUUCCACUGUGUGUGUGACCAUGCUGGGGGAGGGGGACUCUGCUUGGAAUUAAAAGGUUGCAUUGGGUCCCUA
Molecule: non-coding RNA, 750 nt
Organism: Saimiri boliviensis boliviensis (Bolivian squirrel monkey)
Lineage: Eukaryota; Metazoa; Chordata; Mammalia; Primates; Cebidae
Source: RefSeq, a predicted model, not a curated record